Haemorhous mexicanus (house finch) is the source of this 276-nucleotide long non-coding RNA. RefSeq lists it as uncharacterized. Lineage: Eukaryota; Metazoa; Chordata; Aves; Passeriformes; Fringillidae. The transcript has 2 exons. The record is from RefSeq and is a predicted model, not a curated record.
GGCUGCCUGUGCCAUCACUGUCCCUCUCCUGCCUGGCCUCAGAGGGAGUCUGCUGAGAAAAAUGUCUGGCUUUCCCCUUCCUGCUUCCUCUUGACUAAAAAUGAGAUUGUAAUCUCUCCCAGGGCUGAGAUCCUGCUGCCAUCACAUCUCUUCAAGAACCCUGUCCCAAAACGGAGGAUUCCUGCAAAACUACAAAACAAAAAGACAAUGACAAUCACAUUAAUAUAUCAUAUUAUUAAUUACAAGAGGCAUAAUAAAUAAUAAUUUUUAUCUUGC